AUUUAAGUAGCUUAUAUAUGUAGAGUAUGGUUUUGAAGCAGCUAUGGAGGUUAUUUUAGCCCUUAAAUA
This 69-nucleotide transfer RNA is filed under the name Polypedilum yongsanensis. RNAcentral describes it as "tRNA-Phe". The record is from RNAcentral. Lineage: Eukaryota; Metazoa; Arthropoda; Insecta; Diptera; Chironomidae.